This 1403-nucleotide ribosomal RNA is filed under the name Lactobacillus sp. RNAcentral describes it as "bacterial SSU rRNA". It matches the Rfam family "Bacterial small subunit ribosomal RNA", at positions 59 to 1429 of the family's 1533-position model. Lineage: Bacteria; Bacillati; Bacillota; Bacilli; Lactobacillales; Lactobacillaceae. The record is from RNAcentral.
CAGUCGACGAACUCUGGUAUUGAUUGGUGCUUGCAUCAUGAUUUACAUUUGAGUGAGUGGCGAACUGGUGAGUAACACGUGGGAAACCUGCCCAGAAGCGGGGGAUAACACCUGGAAACAGAUGCUAAUACCGCAUAACAACUUGGACCGCAUGGUCCGAGUUUGAAAGAUGGCUUCGGCUAUCACUUUUGGAUGGUCCCGCGGCGUAUUAGCUAGAUGGUGGGGUAACGGCUCACCAUGGCAAUGAUACGUAGCCGACCUGAGAGGGUAAUCGGCCACAUUGGGACUGAGACACGGCCCAAACUCCUACGGGAGGCAGCAGUAGGGAAUCUUCCACAAUGGACGAAAGUCUGAUGGAGCAACGCCGCGUGAGUGAAGAAGGGUUUCGGCUCGUAAAACUCUGUUGUUAAAGAAGAACAUAUCUGAGAGUAACUGUUCAGGUAUUGACGGUAUUUAACCAGAAAGCCACGGCUAACUACGUGCCAGCAGCCGCGGUAAUACGUAGGUGGCAAGCGUUGUCCGGAUUUAUUGGGCGUAAAGCGAGCGCAGGCGGUUUUUUAAGUCUGAUGUGAAAGCCUUCGGCUCAACCGAAGAAGUGCAUCGGAAACUGGGAAACUUGAGUGCAGAAGAGGACAGUGGAACUCCAUGUGUAGCGGUGAAAUGCGUAGAUAUAUGGAAGAACACCAGUGGCGAAGGCGGCUGUCUGGUCUGUAACUGACGCUGAGGCUCGAAAGUAUGGGUAGCAAACAGGAUUAGAUACCCUGGUAGUCCAUACCGUAAACGAUGAAUGCUAAGUGUUGGAGGGUUUCCGCCCUUCAGUGCUGCAGCUAACGCAUUAAGCAUUCCGCCUGGGGAGUACGGCCGCAAGGCUGAAACUCAAAGGAAUUGACGGGGGCCCGCACAAGCGGUGGAGCAUGUGGUUUAAUUCGAAGCUACGCGAAGAACCUUACCAGGUCUUGACAUACUAUGCAAAUCUAAGAGAUUAGACGUUCCCUUCGGGGACAUGGAUACAGGUGGUGCAUGGUUGUCGUCAGCUCGUGUCGUGAGAUGUUGGGUUAAGUCCCGCAACGAGCGCAACCCUUAUUAUCAGUUGCCAGCAUUAAGUUGGGCACUCUGGUGAGACUGCCGGUGACAAACCGGAGGAAGGUGGGGAUGACGUCAAAUCAUCAUGCCCCUUAUGACCUGGGCUACACACGUGCUACAAUGGAUGGUACAACGAGUUGCGAACUCGCGAGAGUAAGCUAAUCUCUUAAAGCCAUUCUCAGUUCGGAUUGUAGGCUGCAACUCGCCUACAUGAAGUCGGAAUCGCUAGUAAUCGCGGAUCAGCAUGCCGCGGUGAAUACGUUCCCGGGCCUUGUACACACCGCCCGUCACACCAUGAGAGUUUGUAACACCCAAAGUCG